RNAcentral lists this ribosomal RNA (489 nucleotides) under uncultured bacterium. Its description in RNAcentral is "partial 16S ribosomal RNA". It matches the Rfam family "Bacterial small subunit ribosomal RNA", at positions 29 to 507 of the family's 1533-position model. The record is from RNAcentral.
AUGAACGCUAGCUACAGGCUUAACACAUGCCAGUCGCGGGGCAGCAUGGGGGUUGCUUGCCAUCCCCGAUGGCGACCGGCGCACGGGUGAGUAACGCGUAUCCAACCUGCCCUUCACCACGGGAUAACCCGGCGAAAGUCGGACUAAUACCGUAUGUUGUCCAUUGACGGCAUCCGAUUUGGACGAAAGGCUUGGCGGUGAGGGAUGGGGAUGCGUCCGAUUAGCCAGACGGCGGGGUAACGGCCCACCGUGGCUACGAUCGGUAGGGGUUCUGAGAGGAAGGUCCCCCACACUGGAACUGAGACACGGUCCAGACUCCUACGGGAGGCAGCAGUGAGGAAUAUUGGUCAAUGGGCGUAAGCCUGAACCAGCCAAGUAGCGUGCAGGAUGACGGCCCUAUGGGUUGUAAACUGCUUUUAUGCGGGGAUAAAGUGGCCCACGUGUGGGCUUUUGCAGGUACCGCAUGAAUAAGGACCGGCUAAUUCCGUG